GGACCAGUUCAGUAGGUAAAGGCUCUGAGUCCUUUAUCCCACUCCAUACAGAGAAGAUUUCACUUUUUGGUUGCAUACAGUGGGCUCUACAUAAGAUUUCAUUUGAACAAAAGAGGCUGCUGCUGCGAAGAACUCGACAAUUGCUGGCCUGGAUGAAGAAACAGAGCCAGAGAGGAAUCUGUGCAAGUCACAUCGCACAGACAACAGCGGCGGGCAGCGUCCAGACCCCACUCUGGCCACGGGGGAGCUGCGACGCUAUUGCUGAGCCUUGGCAUUCAUAGCAGACCUGAGGAUCCCACUCCAUCCUCCAGCAGGCCACCGGCCUCCCAGGAUCACCAUCCACCUUGUUCCCUGAAGGUUCCACUGACCUCUGGAACGAGCUCAGGCUUGGGUUCUCCACCGGUUGUGGGGGAUGAAAACCCUGACUCUAAGAUAAAG
RNAcentral lists this long non-coding RNA (438 nucleotides) under Equus caballus (horse). Its description in RNAcentral is "lncRNA (ENSECAG00000042742.2)". The record is from RNAcentral. Lineage: Eukaryota; Metazoa; Chordata; Mammalia; Perissodactyla; Equidae.